Molecule: long non-coding RNA, 222 nt
Filed under: Lathyrus oleraceus (garden pea)
Lineage: Eukaryota; Viridiplantae; Streptophyta; Magnoliopsida; Fabales; Fabaceae
Description: Pisum sativum (pea) long non-coding RNA (PSAT_LNC007777)
Source: RNAcentral
UAUUUAAUAAAAGUUAACAUUCAGAGAUGUAGUUAUUACUACUAUUUUCAUACCUGUUAAGUGUUACAUGUAUUUUUGAUUGAGCAAGUUGAUUGUAUAUUGUAGUGUAUCAUCCUAAAUUGUAUGUUGAGUUGUUUUACUCUAAUAAAUAAUUUUAAAUUUACACGGAAAAAAUUUAGGAUAUCACGUCAACUUCUUUAAUAGAUGUCGAAAAGAAGGACA